CUACGGGCGGCAGCAGUGGGGAAUAUUGGACAAUGGGGGAAACCCUGAUCCAGCAAUGCCGCGUGUGUGAAGAAGGCCUGCGGGUUGUAAAGCACUUUCGGUUGGGAGGACUGCUUCUAGCACUGAUAUUGUUGGAAGUUGACGUUACCUUCAGAAGAAGCACCGGCUAACUCCGUGCGCAGCAGCCGCGGUGAAUACGGAGGGUGCAAGCGUUAAUCGGAAUUACUGGGCGUAAAGCGCGCGUAGGCGGCUAGAUCAGUCGGGUGUGAAAGCCCCGGGCUUAACCUGGGAACUGCAUCCGAUACUGUCUAGCUUGAGUACAGGAGAGGAGAGUGGAAUUCCACAUGUAGCGGUGAAAUGCGUAGAUAUGUGGAGGAACACCAAUGGCGAAGGCAGCUCUCUGGCCUGAUACUGACGCUGAGGUGCGAAAGCGUGGGGAGCAAACAGGAUUAGAUACCCCGGUAGUC
Molecule: ribosomal RNA, 467 nt
Filed under: uncultured bacterium
Lineage: Bacteria
Description: partial 16S ribosomal RNA
Rfam family: Bacterial small subunit ribosomal RNA
Source: RNAcentral